This 521-nucleotide ribosomal RNA is filed under the name uncultured bacterium. Its description in RNAcentral is "bacterial SSU rRNA". It matches the Rfam family "Bacterial small subunit ribosomal RNA", at positions 8 to 525 of the family's 1533-position model. The record is from RNAcentral.
AGAGUUUGAUCAUGGCUCAGGAUGAACGCUAGCGGCAGGCCUAACACAUGCAAGUCGAGGGGUAACAGAGAAGCUUGCUUCUGCUGACGACCGGCGCACGGGUGCGUAACGCGUAUGCAACCUACCUCAUACAGGAGAAUAGCCCUUGGAAACGAGGAUUAAUACUCCAUGGUAUCAUUCUUUCGCAUGUUAGAAUGAUUAAAGAAUUUCGGUAUGAGAUGGGCAUGCGUCCCAUUAGCUUGUUGGUGAGGUAACGGCUCACCAAGGCAACGAUGGGUAGGGGGCCUGAGAGGGUGGUCCCCCACACUGGUACUGAGACACGGACCAGACUCCUACGGGAGGCAGCAGUGAGGAAUAUUGGUCAAUGGAGGCAACUCUGAACCAGCCAUGCCGCGUGAAGGAUGACGGCCCUAUGGGUUGUAAACUUCUUUUAUAUGGGAAGAAACUUAUCUACGUGUAGAUAACUGACGGUACCAUACGAAUAAGGAUCGGCUAACUCCGUGCCAGCCGCCGCGGUAAUA